GAUGAAGAACGUAGCGAAAUGCGAUAAGUAGUGUGAAUUGCAGAAUUCAGUGAAUCAUCGAAUCUUUGAACGCACAUUGCGCCCUUUGGUAUUCCUUAGGGCAUGCCUGUUCGAGCGUCAUUUAAACCUUCAAGCUAAGCUUGGUGUUGGGUGACUGUCCGCCUCACGGCGGACUCGCCUCAAAAUUAUUGGCGGCCGGUACAUUGGCUUCGAGCGCAGCAGAAACGCGAACUCGGGCCCGUCGUAUUGGCUCCCAGAAGCUAUCUUCACAAUUUUGACCUCGGAUCAGGUAGGGAUGCCCGCUGAACUUAAGCAUAUCAAUAAGCGGAGGA
RNAcentral lists this unclassified non-coding RNA (332 nucleotides) under soil metagenome. RNAcentral's name for it is "partial contains 5.8S ribosomal RNA, internal transcribed spacer 2, and large subunit ribosomal RNA". The stretch from base 1 to 120 matches the Rfam family "5.8S ribosomal RNA", at positions 35 to 154 of the family's 154-position model. The record is from RNAcentral.